RNAcentral lists this long non-coding RNA (305 nucleotides) under Ananas comosus (pineapple). RNAcentral's name for it is "long non-coding RNA (ACOM_LNC012337)". The record is from RNAcentral. Lineage: Eukaryota; Viridiplantae; Streptophyta; Magnoliopsida; Poales; Bromeliaceae.
CGAUAGAAUCUUGAGGUACGUGUUUAUAAGUUUCGCGGACGAAACUUCUUUUUAGGAGGGGUGAAUGUAAUACACUGAAUUUUUGCAAAUUGCGAAAUUCGAGUGUGAGGAAUGAUGUGUGGAACUCUUCUACAUGUUCUAUAGGACUUGGACAAGUUUUUGGAUAAGUUAGAGGAUGAUUGGAAUGCUAAAAGUAAGAAAUUGCAUUGAACUGGCGAAAUCAGCCUUUUUCUGCUUGUUGUACCGGUACAGCCAUUACCUUGUACCGGUACAGACUGGCAGAAACCUGGCAGCAAGGCUAUUUU